GAUUGCAGCUGCAACUCGAGUGCAUGAAGCUGGAAUCGCUAGUAAUCGCGGAUCAGCAUGUCGCGGUGAAUACGUUCCCGGGUCUUGUACACACCGCCCGUCACACCAUGGGAGUCGAUAACACCCGAAGCCUGUAGUCUAACCAUAUGGGGGACGCAGUCGAAGGUGGGAUUGAUAAUUAGGGUGAAGUCGUAACAAGGUAGC
This 204-nucleotide ribosomal RNA is filed under the name uncultured bacterium. RNAcentral describes it as "partial 16S ribosomal RNA". It matches the Rfam family "Bacterial small subunit ribosomal RNA", at positions 1296 to 1500 of the family's 1533-position model. The record is from RNAcentral.